UUGUCUCUCUUGAGUGGAUCCUGAGUACGACGGAGCACGUGAAAUUCCGUCGGAAUCUGGGAGGACCAUCUCCUAAGGCUAAAUACUCUCUAGUGACCGAUAGUGAACCAGUACCGUGAGGGAAAGGUGAAAAGCACCCCGGAAGGGGAGUGAAAUAGAACCUGAAACCGUGUGCUUACAAGUAGUCAGAGCCCGUUAAUGGGUGAUGGCGUGCCUUUUGUAGAAUGAACCGGCGAGUUACGAUUUGAUGCAAGGUUAAGCAGUAAAUGUGGAGCCGUAGCGAAAGCGAGUCUGAAUAGGGCGUUUAGUAUUUGGUCGUAGACCCGAAACCAGGUGAUCUACCCUUGGUCAGGUUGAAGUUCAGGUAACACUGAAUGGAGGACCGAACCGACUUACGUUGAAAAGUGAGCGGAUGAACUGAGGGUAGCGGAGAAAUUCCAAUCGAACCUGGAGAUAGCUGGUUCUCUCCGAAAUAGCUUUAGGGCUAGCCUCAAGUGAUGAUUAUUGGAGGUAGAGCACUGUUUGGACGAGGGGCCCCUCUCGGGUUACCGAAUUCAGACAAACUCCGAAUGCCAAUUAAUUUAACUUGGGAGUCAGAACAUGGGUGAUAAGGUCCGUGUUCGAAAGGGAAACAGCCCAGACCACCAGCUAAGGUCCCAAAAUAUAUGUUAAGUGGAAAAGGAUGUGGCGUUGCCCAGACAACUAGGAUGUUGGCUUAGAAGCAGCCAUCAUUUAAAGAGUGCGUAAUAGCUCACUAGUCGAGUGACACUGCGCCGAAAAUGUACCGGGGCUAAACAUGUUACCGAAGCUGUGGAUUGUCCUUUGGACAAUGGUAGGAGAGCGUUCUAAGGGCGUUGAAGCAUGAUCGUAAGGACAUGUGGAGCGCUUAGAAGUGAGAAUGCCGGUGUGAGUAGCGAAAGACGGGUGAGAAUCCCGUCCACCGAUUGACUAAGGUUUCCAGAGGAAGGCUCGUCCGCUCUGGGUUAGUCGGGUCCUAAGCUGAGGCCGACAGGCGUAGGCGAUGGAUAACAGGUUGAUAUUCCUGUACCACCUAUAAUCGUUUUAAUCGAUGGGGGGACGCAGUAGGAUAGGCGAAGCGUGCGAUUGGAUUGCACGUCUAAGCAGUAAGGCUGGGUAUUAGGCAAAUCCGGUACUCGUUAAGGCUGAGCUGUGAUGGGGAGAAGACAUUGUGUCUUCGAGUCGUUGAUUUCACACUGCCGAGAAAAGCCUCUAGAUAGAAAAUAGGUGCCCGUACCGCAAACCGACACAGGUAGUCAAGAUGAGAAUUCUAAGGUGAGCGAGCGAACUCUCGUUAAGGAACUCGGCAAAAUGACCCCGUAACUUCGGGAGAAGGGGUGCUCUUUAGGGUUAACGCCCAGAAGAGCCGCAGUGAAUAGGCCCAAGCGACUGUUUAUCAAAAACACAGGUCUCUGCUAAACCGUAAGGUGAUGUAUAGGGGCUGACGCCUGCCCGGUGCUGGAAGGUUAAGAGGAGUGGUUAGCUUCUGCGAAGCUACGAAUCGAAGCCCCAGUAAACGGCGGCCGUAACUAUAACGGUCCUAAGGUAGCGAAAUUCCUUGUCGGGUAAGUUCCGACCCGCACGAAAGGCGUAACGAUUUGGGCACUGUCUCAACGAGAGACUCGGUGAAAUCAUAGUACCUGUGAAGAUGCAGGUUACCCGCGACAGGACGGAAAGACCCCGUGGAGCUUUACUGUAGCCUGAUAUUGAAAUUCGGCACAGCUUGUACAGGAUAGGUAGGAGCCUUUGAAACGUGAGCGCUAGCUUACGUGGAGGCGCUGGUGGGAUACUACCCUAGCUGUGUUGGCUUUCUAACCCGCACCACUUAUCGUGGUGGGAGACAGUGUCAGGCGGGCAGUUUGACUGGGGCGGUCGCCUCCUAAAAGGUAACGGAGGCGCUCAAAGGUUCCCUCAGAAUGGUUGGAAAUCAUU
Molecule: ribosomal RNA, 1950 nt
Filed under: Staphylococcus aureus
Lineage: Bacteria; Bacillati; Bacillota; Bacilli; Caryophanales; Staphylococcaceae
Description: partial 23S ribosomal RNA
Rfam family: Bacterial large subunit ribosomal RNA
Source: RNAcentral